AGCUAUUAACUAAUUAUUUAAAUUAUAACACUUCAAGUAAGACUAGCAUGGCCCUGCGCAAGAAUGCCACAUAAACUCGUGAAAUGUUCCAAUUUUUU
RNAcentral lists this small nuclear RNA (98 nucleotides) under Oesophagostomum dentatum (nodular worm). The record is from RNAcentral. Lineage: Eukaryota; Metazoa; Nematoda; Chromadorea; Rhabditida; Strongylidae.